AAAGAGUUCCCGAAGUUAUGUCUAGAUAGCAGGAAGGGUUUCCAUAGAUACUGGAGUGCUUAAAAUAAUGGGGAAAGCCAAGGCAGGUCUUGCUGCUUGCAAGGGUGAUGAACUGAACAUGAUAAUCGCUUUGUGCAGCCAGCAUACCAGGUUCUUAUAUUCUGCUCAUGAGCUGAGGUAGAUUGGUCAUACCAGGUUCUUAUAUUCUGCUAAUGAGCUGAGGCAGAUGGGUUAAAUUUUUGGAGUGUGAAGUCUGGUUCAGUUAAUAUCAACUAAACCUGAAAUCCUUUACCUGUAUCUGUAAUUUAUUAUCCAAAGCAAUACAAGCCGUCUCCCGGGUAUACCGGAUGAAGAAAAGCACUGUUGAGUUGUAAAGUUUUCAAUUUGUAUGGCAUGUAUUCAGCUUUUGUCAAGUAGGAAAGACCAGUAAAUGUAUGCUUAUUUUGUUUCUAAGUUGCCAGAAAUGGAUGAUGCUUUACUCUUGCUGUAAAACGAUUGGUCAUCAAGCUGUUGAGCGUUUAAACAUUGAAUGAAACUUUUAUUCAUGAUUUACAAUUGCUUGU
This 563-nucleotide long non-coding RNA is filed under the name Malus domestica (apple). RNAcentral describes it as "long non-coding RNA (MDOM_LNC009182)". Lineage: Eukaryota; Viridiplantae; Streptophyta; Magnoliopsida; Rosales; Rosaceae. The record is from RNAcentral.